GGGGGUUUAGCUCAGUGGUAGAGCACUUGCCUAGCAAGCGCAAGGCCCUGGGUUCAAUCCCCAGCUCCG
Molecule: transfer RNA, 69 nt
Filed under: Rattus norvegicus (Norway rat)
Lineage: Eukaryota; Metazoa; Chordata; Mammalia; Rodentia; Muridae
Rfam family: tRNA
About the family: Transfer RNA (tRNA) molecules are approximately 80 nucleotides in length. Their secondary structure includes four short double-helical elements and three loops (D, anti-codon, and T loops).
Source: Rfam by way of RNAcentral